UGUUUGAAUGAAGAAAAGGCUCGGGGAGGAGACAUGGCUUGUGUAAGUUCACACAGUCGUCAUUUGGCGAAAUCAGGGUAGAAACCAAGGUUUUUGACUGUCUGUGAGCCUCUGUGUUGACAUCUCUUCGCACACUGACUCUUCAUGGUCUCCCGUACCUUUAUUGUUCCCUCAGCAAGGAGCUUCAGAGCUGCUUGACCUUCACAUGUUUCCUUCUUCCCCACAAACCAAAUGGCAAAUAUCUAUUCACCAAGACCUUCUAAUUCUUUCGCCGAUUUAAAAACUCUUUCAUAAUUAGAAAAAUGUACCAACAAUAAAAUUCAGUUUUUUCGGAGCAUGUAGUUGGACGAGUUUAAUCAUAUGUGUAUAAACAACACGUAGAAUAACCCAGCACCCCCUCAAAUUCCCUCACGCUGUCUCUUUGUAGUCAAACCCUCCCCUUUCCCCUGACUCCUGGUAACACGGAUCUGUUCUGUCGCUGUAGUUUUGCCUUUUCCAGAAAAUCAUGUAAGUGGGAUUAUAUAAACUCGAUCUCUUUGAGACUAGCUUCUUUCAUUGAGCAUAAUGCAUUGGAGAUUCAUCCAAGUUAAGUUGUCAAUUUGUCCCGUUUUAUCAUUAAGUGGUAUUGCACUGUAUGGGUAUACCACUGUGUGUUUACCCAUCACACCAGCAGUGUGUGAGGCUCCUAGUUGCUCUGCGUCUUGGCUAGCAUUUAUUGCCAGUUUCAAAAAUUUAGCCAUUCUGGUAGAUGUGUAGUGGUGUCUCACUGUGAUUUUAAUUGGCACUUAUUUCUCCAGUGAUUGUCGAAUACCUUUUCAUGUGGGUAUUUGCUGUUCCUCUUGUCUGUUAUGUAAAUCUGUAUAUCUUCUGUCCUUUGGGGUGUUUGUUUUACCCACUGUCAUUAUCAGAGGCCUAUUCCAUGUGGUUUUACGCUCAGUUUUCUGUCAACAUUGUUGCCCACAGUAUGUUCCAGGGUCAAGGCACUGAGUUAGGAACUUUAUAUACACGAUCUCAUUUUGCCCUUACAAAAGGCCUGUGAGAUAAGUGGUAUUUUUCUGUUUUUGAUGGAGGAGAAAUAAAGACCCAUGUUCAACAGAUGUUUAUUGAGUUUCUGCUCUAUGCUCUUAGCCGGUUAGUAUAAGCCAUUGGCCAGUUCUGUGACUUUGGGCAAGCCAUUUAAUUUCUGAGCCACUUUCCUUAUGUGUUAAAUAGGGAUCUAUAUCACAGUAUUUUCUCUCAGGGUUAGUGAGCGAAGGUUUUAAGAAGGACUGUAGGAAACAUGCCCAGCAGACGCCUGACCACAGUAGAUACUGAGAAGCAUCGGCAGUGGCUGCUUCUGUUGUUCUCUUCAAACACUUUAUACCGUCCUGAGGCUGUUUCUCCCCCUUGCUGGCUGCCUUCCUCUGGAAAAUUGCCCCUUGGCAGGUCUCCUCCUCCACUCUGGAUCACAUAUUAGAACCAACAUGAAAUUGAGCCUUUUGCUCUUAAGAAUUGUUUCUCUGUUUCCUCUGUGUAGAUCAGUCAUGAAUUGCAUCAGUUGGUCAAGAAGGAUGGGAUUGGUGAGUUUUGCAAAGCAGACCUGCAGCGCUGCAUUACUCUUCCUUCCUUCCCCUAAAUGCAGAGGACCUGUUACCAUGGAGAUACUGGUAGCCAGCUUUGGGGGGGGGCGUGUUCCUAAAUUCCUAAAUUCACUGGGGUAUGGUGAUAGGGUGCUACGGAGCCACCUUAUCUCUCAGAGCAACUGUGCGUGUAGUGUUGCUGAAAUUUUCAAAAGUUGUCAUUUACUAGUCAGUCGGGUUUUUUUUUAUUUUGGCCAGAUAAUUUGGGAUGAUUUUCAGGAAACUGGAAAUUCUUUGAAGAGGGGUUGGUAUUUGAAAUGAGUGCCUUAGAUUUUCUAAAGUCAGUAACAGAAAAGUUAAAUGAGCCAGGUGUUUUACUUUGAGUUCAUUCCAGGUCCAGUGUUUAUGUAAGAAUGUCUAACUUUUACUAACACUGUAAAGGGUUGAUCUAGUUGGCAAGGUUAUUCUGUUUAGGGUGGUGCAGAAAGGGAAAAUCAUAAUAUUAGCAAAAAGAAAAAUAAUCAUGAUACGAAGAUGGCCUUUUACAAAUUGUCAAGUCAUCCGUCAUAGAGUGUGUGAGGCUUUGUGGAAGCGAGAGUAUGGUUAAAAUUGGCUCCCUGCUUUUUCCUUUGGGAGUUGCUAGAGCGCAUUUUCUCUUCAUCCUCCAAUUGUUAGGCAUUUACCCAAUAUUUACCAUGUUCCAGGACCAUGUUAUGUGUUGUCUCUUGAAUCCUCACAGCAACCCAUUGAAACAAAAGAUAGGCCCAUUUUACAGAUGAAAACCUUGUGUAGAGAGACUGUUUGAGUUGCCCAGUGUAACCCCAUAAGGAGGUGACGUUGAGCCCUGCUUUUCUGCCUGUGCCUGCUGCUCUUGGUGCCCACUUUUCUCAGUCUGCCCCUUGUGGAGGAUGGCAGCUGCCUCCUGUGCACACCUUCUCCCGAUAUGGCUUUUGCUUCCUUCUGGGGGUGCUGUUUCCAAGACCUAAGGCCCACGCCUGCCUACCACCCUGGGGUCAGGUGAUUUAAUUUUGUUCAGAAGGCCCACUGUAGAAAGAACGUGAACUCUAAGACAGAGACAAGGUUCAAGUUGUGUCUUUCCCAUUUUUUUUUAUUACCUAUGUGAUUUUUACUAAGUUACUUAAACUCCCAGAGCUUAAAUUUCUUCACCUAUAAAAGAGGAAUAAUACAUGCCUGGUAGAGAUCUGGGGAGGAUUAGAAAUAAGGCAGUAGAGCACUGGCAAGUGCUUGGCAUAUUGUAGAUGCAUAGAAACUGGUAGCUACUAUUAUUGUCACCAUUGUAGGGCCUUCUGGCUGGUCUUGGGGGACCGAAAAAGCUACCUAGAGUAGUGGUUAAGUAUGUGAAAUCUGGAAUAAACUGGAUUCAAAUCCUUGUUUUACCACUUCUCUGCUGUGUGACUGUGCACAACUUGAUUGCUUUCUAUGUCUCAGUUUCUGCCAUCUGUAAAAUGGGUAUAAGCAGUAUUUUCUACCUCAUAGGGAUAAAUGUUUGAUUGUAAAGAGAUAAAUAAGAAUUGUCAAGAGGUUGAGUUGAAAUGACCCACUUUGGUCAUCCAGUGGCAGUGUUUCUUUCAGUGACAGAAUAUGAGCUUCCUUGAAAUUUACAGUAGCAUUUCUUCUCUCCUUUCUGCCCAAAUUGAAAACAUUUCUCAUUUUUUGUAUUUAAUGCCAACAGAAAUGUUUGAACCAUUAACUAUAAAUGCAGAUUAAAUUAUCACAAAAUUACUACCUCCACCUAAGAAAUUAAAUCUAAAAAAGCGUUUUUUUUUUUUUUUUUUGUCUAGAGAAUACCUAAGUUAUUUUUAAUAGAAUUACUACACAUAAAAUUAGGUACAGUAGGAGUUUCCACUGUGGCUCAGUGGGUUAAGAAUCCGACUGUAGUGGCUCUGGUUGCUGCAGUGGCUUGCGUUCAAUCCCUGGCCUAGUGAAGUGUGUUAAAGGAUUCGGCACUGUCACGGGUGCAGUGUAGGUUGCAGCUGAGGCUUGGAUUUAAUCCUUGGCCUGGGAACUUCCAUAUGCUGCAGGUGUGGCCUUAAAAAAAAUUACAUAUAGUAAAUAAAAAUUCACCUCAUUUUAUAGGCGAAUAUAUAAAAAACACGAUCAGCUCUAUAUUAAAAAAAAAUAACAGCAAUACAUGCUUUCAUUGAAAUGAUUUGACUCCACUGCUUUAAUCUUGAAUUUGGCUGGGUUGCAUUUGAGUUAAUUUUUUCCCCCUUCAAAUUGGCAGCAGUAAAAGGGCACCAUAGACCUGAGUCCACCGGGAGGAAAACAGUCUCUGAAUGUCACAUAGGUCUAGAAAUCCAAUUUGGCUGAUACCCGUAGGCAGUGUGUGAUGCUGGCUGGGUCUGCAUCAUUAUUCCGAAGUCUGUACUGAUGUCCUGUGACUAAUAGGUUCCAGCUGUCUGGGUCACUGCUUUGGAGUACUAUUUAUUUGCAGUUGUGAUGCUGCAAAUAGGAAAAGCUUUCCCUUUUGUUGGUUGAAAGCUUUGCUUGUAAUUAGCAAAACAAGCAUGCCUCUUCUUUGGAGAGAGACUGGAAAGGCUGGUAAAGAGUCAAUUGUACACGACCACUUUGGAAGACAACUUGGCAUUGCUGGAAGAGUUGAACGUAUGUGGUCCCCAAGGCCAGCUCUCUUGUCCUAGGUAUAUGCCCUGGAGAAACUCUCGCUGUGUCCACCAGGCAGCGAACACAAGAAUAUGAAUGGCAGCCUUAUUCAUAAUGGCAAAAACUUAAAAAUCCCCAGAUGAUCCUCAACAGUAGAAUAGAGCAGUAAAUUGUGGCUAUGUUCACACAGCAAGAACUUUAUGAUGGUGAAAAACCAGCCACAGUCACAGGAGGCAACAGGGAUGAAUCUCACAAUCAGAAUCUUAAGAGCAGAGUCCUCAGACAUACAGUCUGAUUUCCUUUGUAUUAGGCUUAAAACUGGGUCGAACACAACAAUGUAUUGAGAAUACAGAGGUGGUAAAACCAUAAAGAGGUGCAAAGGAAUGGUUAACUCAAAGUUCAGGCUAGUACAUGGGAUUCAUUUUAUUAUUCUUUAAAGCUGACAUGUUAUUAUAUUCGUUAUCACUGUAUCAUAAGUUACCUCAAAAUUGAGCAGCUUGAGACACUGAUAGACCUUCUUAUCUCACACAAUUUCUCUGUGUGUCAGGAGACCAGGAGCCGCUUAGCUGGAUGGUUCUAACCAGGGGGUCUUGUGGGGCUGCAGUCAGGAUGAAAGCCGAACCAGCCGUUGUCUGAAGACUUGACUGUGGGGUCGAGUCUCCUGCUUCUAGGAAGCCUUACUCACCUGGUUGGUGCAGGAGGCCUUGGUUCCUUACCAUGUCAGCUUCCCUGUAGAGGGACAGGAGCCUCCUCAGGACAUGGCAGCCAGUCUCCCUGCCAAGUCAGAGUGAGAGGGAAGCUGCCGUUUUGACCUAGCCUUUGAAGUUCCAGCCCAUCAUUUCCCCAGCAUUGUAUUGGCCCUGCAUGCCAGGCUUGUUCAGUGUGGGAGCGGACUUGACAAGAGUGGGCAUACCGGGGCCACCUUGGGGGCUGGCCUCUGUGGUGAUGUGCUUUUUAAUACAAUACAUUUUAUAGUAGAAAGUUUAGUUUAGAGGCAAACUAAAUUGGUAUGCCUGUUUUUUGUUUAGGAGUGGGAUGCAGACAUCCAUUUAAAUGAGAUUACUGUAGAUGCUGAAUUGAGUUGCCUGUCAGUAUGGGUUUGGUUUAAUUUGAGUGACCAAGUGGCAAGAGCCUGCCUGACAGGGGUGUCUGGGGGCAGGGAUGAGAGGAACUCCAGUAACACUUGCAUCAGGAUGUGUGGUCCAGAGAUGGGACUUGGGUAUCUAGACUUCCUCCCACUUGUGCUUAGAGCUGGCAAAAAACUCAGCUGAGCUUCUCGGCCUCAAUGUGAUAUUAAAAUCCCUGCCAGCUUCGCAUGUUCUCUUGAGACCAUCUUUAAUGGAAAAGGAGAGAGAUUCUGCCCCUUGCUCCCUUCCCCCACAUGUAAGGAUGUAGCUGGAAAUGAACUAGGCAAAUAAGGAUCAGAGUUGAGUUUAAAAAUUCAUGCAACGAUUGCGUUCAACUCCAUAAUGCGUAUCUUUUUCAAUAUUAACAAUUUGAUCAUUGCUUAUCCUUCCUUCACCAGAAUCUGUGAGUGAAGUUGAUGUUUCCGAGGGUACAUGAUAUUUUUUUCCCUUGGUUUUUUGUAUCUCUUGGCAUAACUUUUCAAUCAGUAUUCCUGGGGUCCAAGUGCUCUUGUUUGUGCGGCACUGAGUCACAUCCUAUCUUUUUUGUGGGUUGCAACAUUCUUGUGAACAGGUGUUCCAAUGCUCAAGAGCAGUAGCUGCUUAGAAGGUUCUCUCGAUGUUUAAUCACACUGACUCAAGUGGAGGAGACAGGAUUAAAAGCCAGGGGCUGGGGUCCCUGACUAGCUUUCCUCAAACUUUGUACGCUAGCACCUUUACAUGGUAGGCAUCGAGACCG
This 6044-nucleotide long non-coding RNA is filed under the name Sus scrofa (pig). RNAcentral describes it as "lncRNA (ENSSSCG00000060527.1)". Lineage: Eukaryota; Metazoa; Chordata; Mammalia; Artiodactyla; Suidae. The record is from RNAcentral.